This 1371-nucleotide ribosomal RNA is filed under the name Lactococcus lactis subsp. lactis. RNAcentral describes it as "bacterial SSU rRNA". It matches the Rfam family "Bacterial small subunit ribosomal RNA", at positions 77 to 1438 of the family's 1533-position model. The record is from RNAcentral. Lineage: Bacteria; Bacillati; Bacillota; Bacilli; Lactobacillales; Streptococcaceae.
UACUUGUACCGACUGGAUGAGCAGCGAACGGGUGAGUAACGCGUGGGGAAUCUGCCUUUGAGCGGGGGACAACAUUUGGAAACGAAUGCUAAUACCGCAUAAAAACUUUAAACACAAGUUUUAAGUUUGAAAGAUGCAAUUGCAUCACUCAAAGAUGAUCCCGCGUUGUAUUAGCUAGUUGGUGAGGUAAAGGCUCACCAAGGCGAUGAUACAUAGCCGACCUGAGAGGGUGAUCGGCCACAUUGGGACUGAGACACGGCCCAAACUCCUACGGGAGGCAGCAGUAGGGAAUCUUCGGCAAUGGACGAAAGUCUGACCGAGCAACGCCGCGUGAGUGAAGAAGGUUUUCGGAUCGUAAAACUCUGUUGGUAGAGAAGAACGUUGGUGAGAGUGGAAAGCUCAUCAAGUGACGGUAACUACCCAGAAAGGGACGGCUAACUACGUGCCAGCAGCCGCGGUAAUACGUAGGUCCCGAGCGUUGUCCGGAUUUAUUGGGCGUAAAGCGAGCGCAGGUGGUUUAUUAAGUCUGGUGUAAAAGGCAGUGGCUCAACCAUUGUAUGCAUUGGAAACUGGUAGACUUGAGUGCAGGAGAGGAGAGUGGAAUUCCAUGUGUAGCGGUGAAAUGCGUAGAUAUAUGGAGGAACACCGGUGGCGAAAGCGGCUCUCUGGCCUGUAACUGACACUGAGGCUCGAAAGCGUGGGGAGCAAACAGGAUUAGAUACCCUGGUAGUCCACGCCGUAAACGAUGAGUGCUAGAUGUAGGGAGCUAUAAGUUCUCUGUAUCGCAGCUAACGCAAUAAGCACUCCGCCUGGGGAGUACGACCGCAAGGUUGAAACUCAAAGGAAUUGACGGGGCCCGCACAAGCGUGGAGCAUGUGGUUUAAUUCGAAGCAACGCGAAGAACCUUACCAGGUCUGACAUACUCGUGCUAUUCCUAGAGAUAGGAAGUUCCUUCGGGACACCGGGAUACAGGUGGUGCAUGGUUGUCGUCAGCUCGUGUCGUGAGAUGUUGGGUUAAGUCCCGCAACGAGCGCAACCCCUAUUGUUAGUUGCCAUCAUUAAGUUGGGCACUCUAACGAGACUGCCGGUGAUAAACCGGAGGAAGGUGGGGAUGACGUCAAAUCAUCAUGCCCCUUAUGACCUGGGCUACACACGUGCUACAAUGGAUGGUACAACGAGUCGCGAGACAGUGAUGUUUAGCUAAUCUCUUAAAACCAUUCUCAGUUCGGAUUGUAGGCUGCAACUCGCCUACAUGAAGUCGGAAUCGCUAGUAAUCGCGGAUCAGCACGCCGCGGUGAAUACGUUCCCGGGCCUUGUACACACCGCCCGUCACACCACGGGAGUUGGGAGUACCCGAAGUAGGUUGCCUAA